RNAcentral lists this long non-coding RNA (359 nucleotides) under Gossypium raimondii (Peruvian cotton). Its description in RNAcentral is "long non-coding RNA (GRAI_LNC009409)". Lineage: Eukaryota; Viridiplantae; Streptophyta; Magnoliopsida; Malvales; Malvaceae. The record is from RNAcentral.
UUGUAUUAAACAUUUAAUAAAAUAAUAAAAUAAAGUAUAAGCCAUGUGGCGUAUAAGCUUUAAUAAGAUGAUUUUCAUUGUAUGAAACAAAACAUUAGAAAAACAUUUCAUAACUCAAAUGAAGCUUCAUUAAAUCAUAGUUUAUCAACAUAGGUUUCGAGUAAAAAUCCUUCUUAAAAUACAAUCAGACAUCAACCCCAUAUGUCAUGCAUAGUACAAAAAAAAAAAAAAGAAGUCUCACAACAGCAGACGUCCUCUGGCGUAGUCUAACAGAAUUUUCCUUUUCUUCAACAACAAGCCUAAAAAGGAAAGGUAACUAAAUAAGUUCAAAAGAACUUAGUGAGUUCCAUAAGAAGUCU